CAGCAGCCGCGGGAAUACGUAGGUCCCGAGCGUUGUCCGGAUUUAUUGGGCGUAAAGCGAGCGCAGGCGGUUAGAUAAGUCUGAAGUUAAAGGCUGUGGCUUAACCAUAGUACGCUUUGGAAACUGUUUAACUUGAGUGCAAGAGGGGAGAGUGGAAUUCCAUGUGUAGCGGUGAAAUGCGUAGAUAUAUGGAGGAACACCGGUGGCGAAAGCGGCUCUCUGGCUUGUAACUGACGCUGAGGCUCGAAAGCGUGGGGAGCAAACAGGAUUAGAUACCCGUGUAGUCCCUGUCUCUUAUACA
RNAcentral lists this ribosomal RNA (301 nucleotides) under uncultured bacterium. Its description in RNAcentral is "partial 16S ribosomal RNA". It matches the Rfam family "Bacterial small subunit ribosomal RNA", at positions 509 to 808 of the family's 1533-position model. The record is from RNAcentral.